This 64-nucleotide transfer RNA is filed under the name Teleogryllus commodus. RNAcentral's name for it is "tRNA-Thr". It matches the Rfam family "tRNA". Rfam says of the family: Transfer RNA (tRNA) molecules are approximately 80 nucleotides in length. Their secondary structure includes four short double-helical elements and three loops (D, anti-codon, and T loops). The record is from RNAcentral. Lineage: Eukaryota; Metazoa; Arthropoda; Insecta; Orthoptera; Gryllidae.
GUUUUAAUAGUUUAAAAUAAAACAUUGGUCUUGUAAACCAAAAUUAAGAACAUCUUUUAAAACU